UGGGGAAUAUUGGACAAUGGGCGAAAGCCUGAUCCAGCCAUGCCGCGUGUGUGAAGAAGGUCUUCGGAUUGUAAAGCACUUUAAGUUGGGAGGAAGGGCAGUAAAUUAAUACUUUGCUGUUUUGACGUUACCGACAGAAUAAGCACCGGCUAACUCUGUGCCAGCAGCCGCGGUAAUACAGAGGGUGCAAGCGUUAAUCGGAAUUACUGGGCGUAAAGCGCGCGUAGGUGGUUCGUUAAGUUGGAUGUGAAAUCCCCGGGCUCAACCUGGGAACUGCAUUCAAAACUGACGAGCUAGAGUAUGGUAGAGGGUGGUGGAAUUUCCUGUGUAGCGGUGAAAUGCGUAGAUAUAGGAAGGAACACCAGUGGCGAAGGCGACCACCUGGACUGAUACUGACACUGAGGUGCGAAAGCGUGGGGGAGCAAAAGCAG
Molecule: ribosomal RNA, 431 nt
Filed under: uncultured bacterium
Lineage: Bacteria
Description: partial 16S ribosomal RNA
Rfam family: Bacterial small subunit ribosomal RNA
Source: RNAcentral